RNAcentral lists this ribosomal RNA (253 nucleotides) under uncultured bacterium. RNAcentral's name for it is "partial 16S ribosomal RNA". It matches the Rfam family "Bacterial small subunit ribosomal RNA", at positions 524 to 776 of the family's 1533-position model. The record is from RNAcentral.
CACGUAGGGCGCAAGCGUUGUCCGGAAUUAUUGGGCGUAAAGAGCUCGUAGGCGGUCUGUUGCGUCCGCUGUGAAAACUCGGGGCUUAACCCCGAGCCUGCAGUGGAUACGGGCAGACUAGAGGUAGGUAGGGGAGAAUGGAAUUCCCGGUGUAGCGGUGAAAUGCGCAGAUAUCGGGAGGAACACCAGUGGCGAAGGCGGCACUCUGGGCCGGUACUGACGCUGAGGAGCGAAAGCGUGGGGAGCGAACAGG